AUCACUAAGCGGAGGAAAAGAAACUAACAAGGAUUCCCUUAGUAACGGCGAGUGAAGUGGGAAGAGCCCAGCACCGAAUCCCCUGCCCUAGCGGUAGCGGGAACUGUGGUGUUUGGGACGUCGGCUGUGCGGUCUGCCCAUCGUCCGAGUCCUCAUGAUCGGGGCCCUUCCAUGGCGGGUGUCAGGCCCAUACGGCUCGGCGUCGUCGUCCUACGGACUUCUCGGGAGUCGGGUUGUUUGAGAUUGCAGCCCAAAGUGGGUGGUAAACUCCAUCUAAGGCUAAAUACUUGCACGAGUCCGAUAGC
This 305-nucleotide ribosomal RNA is filed under the name Amphicteis dalmatica. RNAcentral's name for it is "eukaryotic LSU rRNA". It matches the Rfam family "Eukaryotic large subunit ribosomal RNA", at positions 42 to 341 of the family's 3401-position model. Lineage: Eukaryota; Metazoa; Annelida; Polychaeta; Terebellida; Ampharetidae. The record is from RNAcentral.